UCUGUGUGUUGGUGUUUUACUACUGUUCAUACACCCCUCCAGUGGGUGUCUCUACUGUCUGAUGUCUGCUGGUCUGAGCUGUCUUUCACCCUCAGCCAGGAAGAUCUGCAUGGCCCGGUACAGCAGGUGGAUGCCAAGCUCCCGUUUCCUCUUCACCUGCCAGUUGGACACCAGGCCGUAGAAAUCCCCUCGCUUCUGAUUGGCCAAGCACUUCCCCACAGCACCGGCAUGUCCCAAAGGCAGCAGCCUCAGCAAGAAGGACAAUACGCCUCAAAAACUCGACAAAGAUCCCAAGGAUUAUCAUAGACCUGACCGUGAACACCGUUGACACCCACCUGAGGGAGACACUGCCUAAGAUCUCAAGGCUGCUUGGUUCUGGUCUUCCUGGCCCUGCUGGAGAACAUCUUCAUCAACUAUGUCUUCUUUUGAACAAGCCCUCAGAUGCUGCGAUCUCUGACCUUUAGGAGGAACUGCUACUUUCACUCUGUAACGAGACGGCGGCUAUUUUAAAGACCCAGCUCCUAGUGGCUUUGAAGUGAAAA
Long non-coding RNA from Acanthochromis polyacanthus (spiny chromis), 542 nucleotides. RefSeq lists it as uncharacterized. The transcript is spliced from 3 exons. Lineage: Eukaryota; Metazoa; Chordata; Actinopteri; Pomacentridae. The record is from RefSeq and is a predicted model, not a curated record.